RNAcentral lists this ribosomal RNA (712 nucleotides) under uncultured euryarchaeote. Its description in RNAcentral is "bacterial SSU rRNA". It matches the Rfam family "Archaeal small subunit ribosomal RNA", at positions 54 to 770 of the family's 1478-position model. The record is from RNAcentral. Lineage: Archaea; Methanobacteriati; Methanobacteriota.
CGAGUCUAGAGGACCUAGUCCUCGGCGUACCGCUCAGUAACACGUGGGUAACCUACCCUAUGCUGGGGGAUAAGCUCGGGAAACUGAGAAUAAUACCCCAUAGUCCACUACGCCUGGAACGGUGAGUGGAUGAAAGCUCCGGCGGCAUAGGAUGGGCCUGCGGCGUAUCAGGUUGUAGGGGGUGUAACGUACCCUCUAGCCAUCCACGCGUACGGGUGUUGGGAGACAUUGCCCGGAGAUGGAUUCUGAGACACGAAUCCAGACCCUACGGGGUGCAGCAGGCGCGAAAACUUGGCAAUGCGAGAAAUCGUGACCAGGGAACUCCAAGUGGCAGGGGUAAGACCCUGUCUUUUUUCGACUCUAAAUAGGUCGACGAAUAAGGGGUGGGUAAGGACGGUGCCAGCCGCCGCGGUAAUACCGGCGCCUCAAGUGGUAGUCGCUUUUAUUGGGCCUAAAACGUCCGUAGCCGGUCUGGUACAUUCGUGGGUAAAUCAACUCGCUCAACGAGUUGAAUUCUGCGAGGACGGCCAGACUUGGGACCGGGAGAGGUGUGGGGUACUCUCAGGGUAGGGGUAAAAUCCUGUCAUCCUGAGAGGACCACCUGUUGCGAAGGCUCCACACUAGAACGGAUCCGACGGUCAGGGACGAAGCCUAGGGGCACGAACCGGAUUAGAUACCCGGGUAGUCCCUAGGUGUAAACGCUGUGGACUUG